RNAcentral lists this ribosomal RNA (253 nucleotides) under uncultured bacterium. RNAcentral's name for it is "partial 16S ribosomal RNA". It matches the Rfam family "Bacterial small subunit ribosomal RNA", at positions 524 to 776 of the family's 1533-position model. The record is from RNAcentral.
UACGUAGGGUGCGAGCGUUAAUCGGAAUUACUGGGCGUAAAGCGUGCGCAGGCGGUUUUGCAAGACAGAUGUGAAAUCCCCGGGCUUAACCUGGGAACUGCAUUUGUGACUGCAAGACUAGAGUGCGGCAGAGGGGGGUAGAAUUCCACGUGUAGCAGUGAAAUGCGUAGAUAUGUGGAGGAAUACCGAUGGCGAAGGCAGCCCCCUGGGUCGACACUGACGCUCAUGCACGAAAGCGUGGGGAGCAAACAGG